RNAcentral lists this ribosomal RNA (441 nucleotides) under uncultured bacterium. Its description in RNAcentral is "partial 16S ribosomal RNA". It matches the Rfam family "Bacterial small subunit ribosomal RNA", at positions 338 to 795 of the family's 1533-position model. The record is from RNAcentral.
CCUACGGGUGGCAGCAGUGUGGGAUCUUCCACAAUGGGGGGAACCCUGAUGCAGCGACGCCGCGUGGGUGAAGGAGUGCUUCGGCAUGUAAAGCCCUAUCGGCAGGGAAGAAGCAAGACGGUACCUGCCUAAGACGCCCCGGCUAACUCCGUGCCAGCAGCCGCGGUAAGACAUAGGGGGCGAGCUUUAUCCGGAUUCACUGGGUGUGAAGGGAGCGUAGACGGCCAUUCAAGCCAGGGGUGAAAGCCCGGGGCCCAACCCCGGUACUGCCGUGGAAACUGUGCGGCUAGAGUGCGGGAGGGGCAGGCGGAAGUCCUGGUGUAGCGGUGAAAUGCGGAGAGAUCAGGAGGAACACCGGCGGCGAAGGCGGCCUGCUGGACUGCGACUGACGUUGAGGCUCGAAAGCGUGGGGAGCGAACAGGAUUAGAUACCCCUGUAGUC